This 504-nucleotide ribosomal RNA is filed under the name uncultured bacterium. RNAcentral's name for it is "bacterial SSU rRNA". It matches the Rfam family "Bacterial small subunit ribosomal RNA", at positions 9 to 495 of the family's 1533-position model. The record is from RNAcentral.
GAGUUUGAUCCUGGCUCAGGAUGAACGCUGGCGGCGUGCCUAAUACAUGCAAGUCGAGCGAACAGAUAAGGAGCUUGCUCCUUUGAAGUUAGCGGCGGACGGGUGAGUAACACGUGGGUAACCUACCUAUAAGACUGGGAUAACUUCGGGAAACCGGAGCUAAUACCGGAUAACAUUUAGAACCGCAUGGUUCUAAAGUGAAAGAUGGUUUUGCUAUCACUUAUAGAUGGACCCGCGCCGUAUUAGCUAGUUGGUAAGGUAACGGCUUACCAAGGCGACGAUACGUAGCCGACCUGAGAGGGUGAUCGGCCACACUGGAACUGAGACACGGUCCAGACUCCUACGGGAGGCAGCAGUAGGGAAUCUUCCGCAAUGGGCGAAAGCCUGACGGAGCAACGCCGCGUGAGUGAUGAAGGGUUUCGGAUCGUAAAACUCUGUUAUUAGGGAAGAACAAAUGUGUAAGUAACUGUGCACGUCUUGACGGUACCUAAUCAGAAAGCCACG